RNAcentral lists this ribosomal RNA (3013 nucleotides) under Salmonella enterica subsp. enterica serovar Saintpaul. RNAcentral's name for it is "bacterial LSU rRNA". It matches the Rfam family "Bacterial large subunit ribosomal RNA". Lineage: Bacteria; Pseudomonadati; Pseudomonadota; Gammaproteobacteria; Enterobacterales; Enterobacteriaceae. The record is from RNAcentral.
GGGUUGUGAGGUUAAGCGACUAAGCGUACACGGUGGAUGCCCUGGCAGUCAGAGGCGAUGAAGGGCGUGCUAAUCUGCGAUAAGCGCCGGUAAGGUGAUAUGAACCGUUAUAACCGGCGAUACCCGAAUGGGGAAACCCAGUGUGACUCGUCACACUAUCAUUAACUGAAUCCAUAGGUUAAUGAGGCGAACCGGGGGAACUGAAACAUCUAAGUACCCCGAGGAAAAGAAAUCAACCGAGAUUCCCCCAGUAGCGGCGAGCGAACGGGGAGGAGCCCAGAGCCUGAAUCAGCAUGUGUGUUAGUGGAAGCGUCUGGAAAGGCGCGCGAUACAGGGUGACAGCCCCGUACACAAAAGCGCAUGUGUUGUGAGCUCGAUGAGUAGGGCGGGACACGUGGUAUCCUGUCUGAAUAUGGGGGGACCAUCCUCCAAGGCUAAAUACUCCUGACUGACCGAUAGUGAACCAGUACCGUGAGGGAAAGGCGAAAAGAACCCCGGCGAGGGGAGUGAAAAAGAACCUGAAACCGUGUACGUACAAGCAGUGGGAGCACAGGUUUACCUGUGUGACUGCGUACCUUUUGUAUAAUGGGUCAGCGACUUAUAUUCUGUAGCAAGGUUAACCGAAUAGGGGAGCCGGAGGGAAACCGAGUCUUAAUUGGGCGUUAAGUUGCAGGGUAUAGACCCGAAACCCGGUGAUCUAGCCAUGGGCAGGUUGAAGGUUGGGUAACACUAACUGGAGGACCGAACCGACUAAUGUUGAAAAAUUAGCGGAUGACCUGUGGCUGGGGGUGAAAGGCCAAUCAAACCGGGAGAUAGCUGGUUCUCCCCGAAAGCUAUUUAGGUAGCGCCUCGUGAAUUCAUCUCCGGGGGUAGAGCACUGUUUCGGCUAGGGGGCCAUCCCGGCUUACCAACCCGAUGCAAACUGCGAAUACCGGAGAAUGUUAUCACGGGAGACACACGGCGGGUGCUAACGUCCGUCGUGAAGAGGGAAACAACCCAGACCGCCAGCUAAGGUCCCAAAGUCAUGGUUAAGUGGGAAACGAUGUGGGAAGGCCCAGACAGCCAGGAUGUUGGCUUAGAAGCAGCCAUCAUUUAAAGAAAGCGUAAUAGCUCACUGGUCGAGUCGGCCUGCGCGGAAGAUGUAACGGGGCUAAACCAUGCACCGAAGCUGCGGCAGCGAACGUAUCACCCAAGACAACUUUACGGAGUUGACGAUUGACGGAGCGAAGCGACGUCAAAGCGUUCAUUAAAGUCGAGUUGGCUUAGGGAUACGUUCGUUGGGUAGGGGAGCGUUCUGUAAGCCUGUGAAGGUGGCCUGUGAGGGUUGCUGGAGGUAUCAGAAGUGCGAAUGCUGACAUAAGUAACGAUAAAGCGGGUGAAAAGCCCGCUCGCCGGAAGACCAAGGGUUCCUGUCCAACGUUAAUCGGGGCAGGGUGAGUCGACCCCUAAGGCGAGGCCGAAAGGCGUAGUCGAUGGGAAACGGGUUAAUAUUCCCGUACUUGGUGUUACUGCGAAGGGGGGACGGAGAAGGCUAUGUUGGCCGGGCGACGGUUGUCCCGGUUUAAGCGUGUAGGUGUGUGUUCCAGGUAAAUCCGGUUCACUUUAACACUGAGGCGUGACGACGAGGCACUACGGUGCUGAAGCAACAAAUGCCCUGCUUCCAGGAAAAGCCUCUAAGCAUCAGGUAACAUCAAAUCGUACCCCAAACCGACACAGGUGGUCAGGUAGAGAAUACCAAGGCGCUUGAGAGAACUCGGGUGAAGGAACUAGGCAAAAUGGUGCCGUAACUUCGGGAGAAGGCACGCUGACACGUAGGUGAAGUGAUUUACUCAUGGAGCUGAAGUCAGUCGAAGAUACCAGCUGGCUGCAACUGUUUAUUAAAAACACAGCACUGUGCAAACACGAAAGUGGACGUAUACGGUGUGACGCCUGCCCGGUGCCGGAAGGUUAAUUGAUGGGGUCAGCGCAAGCGAAGCUCCUGAUCGAAGCCCCGGUAAACGGCGGCCGUAACUAUAACGGUCCUAAGGUAGCGAAAUUCCUUGUCGGGUAAGUUCCGACCUGCACGAAUGGCGUAAUGAUGGCCAGGCUGUCUCCACCCGAGACUCAGUGAAAUUGAACUCGCUGUGAAGAUGCAGUGUACCCGCGGCAAGACGGAAAGACCCCGUGAACCUUUACUAUAGCUUGACACUGAACAUUGAGCCUUGAUGUGUAGGAUAGGUGGGAGGCUUUGAAGUGUGGACGCCAGUCUGCAUGGAGCCGACCUUGAAAUACCACCCUUUAAUGUUUGAUGUUCUAACGUGGACCCGUGAUCCGGGUUGCGGACAGUGUCUGGUGGGUAGUUUGACUGGGGCGGUCUCCUCCUAAAGAGUAACGGAGGAGCACGAAGGUUGGCUAAUCCUGGUCGGACAUCAGGAGGUUAGUGCAAUGGCAUAAGCCAGCUUGACUGCGAGCGUGACGGCGCGAGCAGGUGCGAAAGCAGGUCAUAGUGAUCCGGUGGUUCUGAAUGGAAGGGCCAUCGCUCAACGGAUAAAAGGUACUCCGGGGAUAACAGGCUGAUACCGCCCAAGAGUUCAUAUCGACGGCGGUGUUUGGCACCUCGAUGUCGGCUCAUCACAUCCUGGGGCUGAAGUAGGUCCCAAGGGUAUGGCUGUUCGCCAUUUAAAGUGGUACGCGAGCUGGGUUUAGAACGUCGUGAGACAGUUCGGUCCCUAUCUGCCGUGGGCGCUGGAGAACUGAGGGGGGCUGCUCCUAGUACGAGAGGACCGGAGUGGACGCAUCACUGGUGUUCGGGUUGUCAUGCCAAUGGCACUGCCCGGUAGCUAAAUGCGGAAGAGAUAAGUGCUGAAAGCAUCUAAGCACGAAACUUGCCCCGAGAUGAGUUCUCCCUGAGACUUUAAGUCUCCUGAAGGAACGUUGAAGACGACGACGUUGAUAGGCCGGGUGUGUAAGCGCAGCGAUGCGUUGAGCUAACCGGUACUAAUGAACCGUGAGGCUUAACCUUACAACGCCGAAG